AACAGAUUUUCCAGGUAUCCCUUCUUAUAUACCUCAAGCAUUCAACAUCCUAGCCAUGCAAGUAAUUUGAAAAUAACUAAAGUAUAGUACUGGAAAGUAGAAUAGCAUGAAAAACUUAAUUUUGUGGACAUUGCCUUUUUUAAUCAGCUCCUUAUCUUGUACUUUGUUUUGGGUGGCUUUUCUGCUCUGGAGGUAUGCACUAACAAAACGUUUUCCUCCUUUCAUAUACGCAUGUUAAUUAGCAAUGUGAGCAAUAUUUCCUACCAUACUUCACUCCCAAUAUUUUUGAGAUGUUUGUAUAAAAUGGAAUUUAAUGUUCACCUAUGAUUGUAUAUGAACCACAGAGGAGCCCAUUUAUUAAUAAUAAACUUUUUUAAUAGUUAAAUGUUACGGGGAAAAUAAUAAAAAAAAAACUGGGAAACAUUGUAAACAGCUUAAGUUUAUUUUGUGUAUGACUGAGGCACUCUGUUGCAGGAAGGUGUGUAAUUGGGUUCUCUCUGCUUCCAAAUACACUCAUUCAAACCAUUUAUUAUCCUGUGUAAUUUUUAACAUGGUUUGAGUAGGUGUAUAGCAACUCAUGUUGAAAUGGGUAAAUUGUGUUAUGUUUUUGGUGGCACACAUGCCCUUGGGACCUUAUAUCUCAAGCUUCAUGUGUAUGGUUUCCCUUUAGCCCACUCACUACCCCAGUCUCCCACAAACCCUUUGUCCUAAUAAGUUCCCUUUGUAAAAGGAGUAGUAUCUGUUUUGAGCUACCAGUUCAGGUGAUCAGAAAUGCUGCUGUCCUCAGUGUUGUCUUACUAAAAUAAAAUGUAGGCCCUUUGGAUCUUUGACAGUAACUAGUUUAAAAGACGAGAAUGGAAAAAAUGUGUAUAUACUCUAGAAGUAAAAUAUACACUCACAUGCUUUCCAGUUUUUCAAUUAAAUGAGUUUUAUGCCAUGGAGGUGCAGAUCUUCCGAAGAGAUGAAAAAUUGGGGCAUUUUUAGUUUGUGAUUUAUGCUUUUUUGAGUUGUCGGGUGUGAUUUCAAAGUAUAUCUAAAAGAACCAGUGUUCUUUAAAAUUAUUUAAAGCAGUGUUUGGGAGAGGGAAAAUUGUACCAUUUGCCAUCAUUGGUCAUUUAAGAGCAUGUAGCAUCACUUAAUCUGUUGGGCAUCAUUGCCCAUUUCAUAGCUUUACUCAUUGUAAUGGGGAAUAUUGCAGCAUCCUCAGGACUGACAUCUGAAAAAGGCUCAAGUCCUUAUACUGCUCCUUGCUUGUUGACUUUGUUUUUUAAAAAUGUGCCUGGUGUCAACUUUUAAGCAACAGCACUGCCUAAAAGCAAGCAGAGAAAAGAAUCCCAACACCAUUCUAUAUAGGCAACUUUUUAAAAUUCGAUAUAGAAAAUCUGUUAAAGAUUUACAGUGUUUUAUGUAUAAAAAAAAUUUUGUAUGAAGUAGCUAAAUAUUUUCAUUUCAUUACUUUGAUGUAAGGAGG
RNAcentral lists this long non-coding RNA (1471 nucleotides) under Sarcophilus harrisii (Tasmanian devil). Its description in RNAcentral is "lncRNA (ENSSHAG00000020610.1)". The record is from RNAcentral. Lineage: Eukaryota; Metazoa; Chordata; Mammalia; Dasyuromorphia; Dasyuridae.